UAUAUUUGCACCUCAAUUCUGAGAGCCAGAAUUGUUUGCAUAAAAAUUAUUUAAACAAAUAUUGGAAUG
This 69-nucleotide non-coding RNA is filed under the name unclassified sequences. RNAcentral describes it as "S15-Flavobacteria ribosomal protein leader". It matches the Rfam family "S15-Flavobacteria ribosomal protein leader". The record is from RNAcentral.